GAAAUGCGAUAAGUAGUGUGAAUUGCAGAAUUCGGUGAAUCAUCGAAUCUUUGAACGCACAUUGCGCCCCUUGGUAUUCCAUGGGGCAUGCCUGUUCGAGCGUCAUUUGUACCCUCAAGCUCUGCUUGGUGUUGGGUGUUUGUCCCGUCUCCGCGCGUGGACUCGCCCCAAAGUGAUUGGCAGCCGGCGUACUGGUCCCGGAGCGCAGCACAUGUCGCGCAAACGAGUGCCUUGGUACGGCGGCGUCCAUAAGCCCCUCUCUCACGCUCUUGACCUCGGAUCAGGUAGGGAUACCCGCUGAACUUAAGC
Molecule: unclassified non-coding RNA, 309 nt
Filed under: plant metagenome
Description: partial contains 5.8S ribosomal RNA, internal transcribed spacer 2, and large subunit ribosomal RNA
Rfam family: 5.8S ribosomal RNA (bases 1-105)
Source: RNAcentral